This 472-nucleotide ribosomal RNA is filed under the name uncultured bacterium. RNAcentral's name for it is "partial 16S ribosomal RNA". It matches the Rfam family "Bacterial small subunit ribosomal RNA", at positions 28 to 507 of the family's 1533-position model. The record is from RNAcentral.
GACGAACGCUGGCGGCGUGCUUAACACAUGCAAGUCGAACGAUGAACCCGGAGCUUGCUCUGGGGGAUUAGUGGCGAACGGGUGAGUAACACGUGAGUAACCUGCCCUGGACUCUGGGAUAAGCGUUGGAAACGACGUCUAAUACCGGAUAGGACCUUGGAUCGCAUGAUCUGGGGUGGAAAGUUUUUUCGGUCUGGGAUGGACUCGCGGCCUAUAAGCUUGUUGGUGAGGUAAUGGCUCACCAAGGCGUCGACGGGUAGCCGGCCUGAGAGGGUGACCGGCCACACUGGGACUGAGACAAGGGCCAGACUCCGACGGGAGGCAGCAGUGGGGAAUAUUGCACAAUGGGCGAAAGCCUGAUGCAGAAACGCCGCGUGCGGGAUGACGGCCGUCGGGUUGUAAACCGCUUUUAGUAGGGAAGAAGGGCUUCGGCUUGACGGUACCUGCAGAAAAAGGACCGGCUAACUACGUG